GCAGGAUCAACCAGGUAGCAUUCCUCACAGACAUCGGUCCGCACGGCUCGAGGCCGGAACGGAACCAAAGUCGUUCGAAAAUGGCUUGGAAGCCUUUUUGUGGACAAAUAGGAGUCAAUGACUCCGUGCCCUCAUCGUUUUCUGCAUCCCAGAGCCCGAGCGAGAAUUCAUAGACCACGAAACCGACACGAAACGUGUAGAACGUGGGACACGAAUUCCGUUUCGAGUUUCACCCGCAGCCACACCGAGUUAACGGGCAGCCUAAGGCGAACAACUAGAGAUUGACAACCGAAUUCCAUCACGUAGGUACAAACACAGGAAACCGAGGAACGGCCAAUUAAAUUGUGCCAACAUUGAAGAGGAUAGCAAGGUAGGACGUCGCCGCUCAAGGCAGGGAUCCAACCAAACCGUGCUAAC
RNAcentral lists this unclassified non-coding RNA (417 nucleotides) under Mitracarpus capitatus. Its description in RNAcentral is "partial external transcribed spacer". Lineage: Eukaryota; Viridiplantae; Streptophyta; Magnoliopsida; Gentianales; Rubiaceae. The record is from RNAcentral.